GACGAACCGUGCGAACGUUGUUCGGAAUCACUGGGCUUAAAGGGCGCGUAGGCGGCCCGCCGCGUCCGGGGUGAAAUCCUCCCGCUCAACGGGAGGACGGCCUCGGAUACGGGCGGGCUGGAGGGGGGUAGGGGCACGCGGAACUGUGGGUGGAGCGGUGAAAUGCGUUGAGAUCCACAGGAACUCCGGUGGCGAAGGCGGCGCGCUGGACCCCACCUGACGCUGAGGCGCGAAAGCCAGGGGAGCGAACGGG
Molecule: ribosomal RNA, 253 nt
Filed under: uncultured bacterium
Lineage: Bacteria
Description: partial 16S ribosomal RNA
Rfam family: Bacterial small subunit ribosomal RNA
Source: RNAcentral